RNAcentral lists this ribosomal RNA (742 nucleotides) under uncultured Nitrospirota bacterium. RNAcentral's name for it is "bacterial SSU rRNA". It matches the Rfam family "Bacterial small subunit ribosomal RNA", at positions 9 to 772 of the family's 1533-position model. Lineage: Bacteria; Pseudomonadati; Nitrospirota. The record is from RNAcentral.
GAGUUUGAUCAUGGCUCCCAACGAACGCUGGCGGCGUGCUUAACACAUGAAGUCGGACGGGCUUAUGUUUGAAGGGCAACUGGAUGGCAUAAGUUAGUGCGCACGGGUGAGUAACACGUAGUUAAUCUACCUCUAAGAGGGGGACAAUGGGGGAAACUCCAGCUAAUACCGCAUAAGACCACGUGUUGGGAUACAAUGGUAAAAGGGGAGACUCGCUUAGAGAUGGGACUGCGGCUUAUCAGCUAUUGGUGGGGUAAAGGCUCACCAAGGCUAAGACGAGUAACCGGACUGAGAGUUGGACGGUCACACUGGAACUGAGACACGGUCCAGACUCCUACGGGAGCAGCAGUGGGGAAUUUUGCACAAUGGGGGGAACCCUGAUGCAGCGACGCGCGUGGAGGAAGAAGGCCUUCGGGUUGUAAACUUCUUUUAUAGGGGAGAUGGUGAUAGUACCUUAUGAAUAAGCCACGGCUAACUCUGUGCCAGCAGCGCGGUAAGACAGAGGUGGCGAGCGUUGUUCGGAAUUACUGGGCUUAAAGGCGCGUAGGCGGUUAGUUAAGUCUGGGGUGGAAUUUCAUAGCUCAACUAGGGGCUGCCUUAGAAACUGAUUGACUUGAGAUAGUAAGGGGAAGGCGGAUAUCUGGUGUAGCGGUGAAAUGCUUAGAUAUCAGGUAGAAGGCCUGUGGGAAGGCGGCCUUCUGGUGCUAAUCUCGACGCUGAGGCGCGAAAGCGUGGGAGCGAA